GAAGAGAAAGAAGAAGGAAGAAGCAGGAGCUACUGGUUUUGACAAAUUAGUGAGUUUUUCAUCUAAUUAGUGGUUUAUUUUUGAUAUAAUCAUACAUGUGUGAGUCAUUUUUUUUUUGGAUGGGCUCCUGGAAACAUCAAACCUCAUUGAUUAUUAUUAUUAUUAUUAUUCAUCUUUUCAAAUGGUCCAAAUUUGAACUUUUCUUUGUGGGGAAGGAUCUUAUUGUUUGUGGCGAAGGAUCUUAGGAUAUGAUUCCUAUUUAAUCUAUCAUCAGUUUGUUGCGUGACCAUUACAGUACCUGUUAAUUUACAGGCAAUAUCUAGAGCUUAUUCAAGAAAUCGUUGAAGUUGUGAUAGGAAAAAUGAGAAAAUCAAGUUCAGUAUCUGGCGCUGCAAAGAAUUUUGUUGGGAUGAGUUCACGUAUGGUGGAAAUGACUAUGCAUUUAGACAUGGGGCAGUUGGAUGAUGUUCACUUUGUGGGGAUUUGUGGGAUGGGAGGUAUUGGUAAAACAACAAUUGCCAGAGUUGUCUAUGAGCAAAUAUCUUCUCAAUUUGAAGGUAGCAGCUUUCUUGCAAAUGUUAGAGAAGUUCAGGAGAAACAUGGUUUAGUUCCUUUACAAAAACAGCUUCUUACUGAAAUUUUAAUGGAUUGGAACAUAGCUAUUUGGGAUGCUCAUAGUGGAGUUGAUGAGAUCAGAAAUAGGUUACGUCGGAAAAAAGUUCUUAUAAUUCUAGAUGAUGUCAAUCGAUUGGACCAGUUAAAAUUAUUAGCUGGUAUGUGUGAUUGGUUUGGGAAUGGAAGUAGGAUAAUUAUCACAACUAGGGAUGAAAAUUUGUUGACAUGCCAUGGAGUAGAUAAAGUAUAUAGGGUAGAGGGAUUAAGUCAUGAUGAAGCCCUUGAGCUCUUUUGUUUGAAAGCCUUUAAAAAUGAUAAUCCAGCAGAUGAUUAUGUGGAGCUAUCAGAUCACUUUGUAAAUUAUUGUAAUGGCCUUCCAUUAGCUCUUGAUGUUCUUGGUUCCUUUUUGUUCGGUAAAUCUGUAAAUGAGUGGAGAAGUGCAUUGGAAAGAUUGAAAGAAGUUCCUCAUCAACAAAUUUUGGAUAAACUUUAUAUAAGUUUUGAUGGGUUAGAGGAAAUUGAGAAGAAAAUAUUCUUGGAUAUUGCUUGUUUUUUCAAUGGAGAGGAUAAAGAUUAUGUGAUGAAGGUACUGGAAAGUUGUGGUUUCUAUCCUGAUCUUGGAAUAAGAGUUCUCAUUAAUAAAUCUCUUUUAACCAUUUCAAGAGAGAGAAUAUGGAUGCAUGAUUUACUUCAAGAAAUGGGUCAAGAAAUUGUUCGCCAAGAAUCACAUGAAGAACCUGGAAAAAGAAGUAGAUUGUGGCUUUAUAAGGAUGUAUAUCAUGUUCUAUCAAAUGAUAAGGGAACAGAACAGAUUGAAGGCAUUGUACUAGAAUGCAAAAGGGAAGAUGAACAAUUGAGUGCUAAAGCUUUCAUGAAAAUGAAAAGGCUAAGAUUGCUCAAGCUUCGAAAUUUGCGACUUUCACAGGGCCUUGAGCAUCUUUCAAAUAAAUUAAAAUAUCUUGAAUGGGAUGGAUAUCCUUUCAAAUAUUUUCCAUCAACUUUCCAGCCAGAUAAACUUGUUGAGCUCCAUAUGCGCUGUGGUAACAUGGAACAAUUGUGGAAGGGAAUCAAAGUAAGUAUUAUUAUUUAUGUUCAUCAUAAGUACUCUGAGUUCAUAAUUCAUUGGGUCAUUGAUGAUGCAACCUUCUAGAGCUUCAGCUAUUUUAAUUUUCUUUGUGUUUACAUUUUCACAGCCAUUAAGGAUGUUGAAGGUUAUCGAUCUAAGUUUUUCUGUUAACUUAGUGAAGACCAUAGACUUCAAGGAGGCCCCAAAUCUUGAAAAAUUGCAUCUUGAAGGUUGCACAAAACUGUCUGUGGUUCACCAAUCCAUUGGAGAUCUGAAAAGGCUUGGUUUACUGAACUUGAAGGACUGCAAAAGCCUUACAAGGCUUCCAAAUAGCAUAUGUGAUCUAAAGUCCCUUAAGUAUCUAAAUUUGCAUGGCUGCUCAAAACUUCAGAAAUUGCCAGAAAGGUUGGGUGAUAUGACAGGCUUGGAGAAGCUUAAUUUAGGUGGAAUUACUACCAGACAACUUGGAUCAACUAGACUCUGGGAUUUUUUUCUACUUUCAAGGUUUUUACUUUGGGAGAAUACCAAUCCUCUGGUUAUGAUGUUGCCUUCUUUAUUAGUCUUACCAUCAUUGAGGUCAUUAGAUUUAAGUUACUGCAAUCUGGUAGAGGGAGCACUUCCCAAUGAUCUGGGCUGCUUCCCAUCAUUGAAAACACUCAAUCUAAGCGGAAAUGAUUUUGUUAGCAUCCCUUCAAGCAUUAGCCAACUUUCUAAACUUGAAGAUUUUCGAUUUGCUAAUUGCAAGAGGCUUCAAUUAUUUCCAAAUCUCCCAUCAAGCAUUUUAUAUCUGAGCAUGGAUGGUUGCACUGCCUUAGAAACUUUGGCACCUAGAAAUAUCAGUAGACAAUUUGAGCUUGAAAAUCUUUGUGCCGUGAAUUGCAAGAGGCUUCAGUCAUUGCCUGAUCUUUCAUCAAGUAUUUUAUAUCUAACUGUGGAUGGAUUAACUGCACAAGAAACCAUUCCAAAUCCACUUGGAACACACACUAUGAGACCUUCAUCUCUGACUUUCUUAACUUACUUGAAAUUGAUUGAGGUUCAAAGCAAAAACAUUAUGGCAUUUGCAAGGCUGACAAGUUAUCUGCAUUACUUGCUAAAGCACAACUCACAGGGACUCUUUUAUCCAGGCUCUCACAUAUCCAUAUGUUUGGUUGGAAGUGAAAUUCCUUGUUGGUUCAACUAUCAGUCAGCGGGAGCUACAUUAGAAAUGCAGUUGCCUCCAUAUUGGUGGACUAAAAAGUGGAUGGGAUUCGCUCUCUGUAUAGAGUUUGGAUUCCAAGAGCCCUUAUCAGAUUCUUCUACUAUUUUAUGUGAUUUGAAAGCAUGCAUUGCUCCAGAUGAAGAUUUGUUUCUAGGUUGCUCUACUGUACAAAUCUCAAAGGACAUGAACGUUACAUCGGAUCAACUUUGGUUCAAUUACAUGCCGCGUAGCUCUUUUACUUGUCUGGAUAUGUGGGAAGCUUGUAAUCACCUUAAGGUUACUUUUUCCUCAGACGAAUUGAGGUUGAAGCAUUGUGGCUUUCGUGCAAUAUACAGUCAGGAUGUUGAUGAGAUGGUUUUGUGUGGCAAACCUUCUGAGAAUUUGGGUCUUCCCUGUAAUCAUAACGUUGACAAAAGCAAGAGAAGCAAUAGAGUGGAAUCCAAUGAAAGUGGCAACUUGACUGAUAGAUUGCCUUCCAAGAGACCGAGGAUGCUUGUGGAUCCUGAUACUGAAACUCAUGGCCAAAAAGAUCUUAAAGAAUAAGAAGUGAAAUUAUGCUUGUUUUUCUCUCUCUCUUCUCUUUUCCUGUGAAAUGUUACGAUGAUUUGAAUAAUUAUUAUGUUGAAUGUUUCUUCCUGUAAAUGAGUUGUUACUCUGAAAAAAGCAGUCUCUUUAGUUCAUUGCAUAUCUGUUUAAUGAAAAAGGUUCAAUCUUUUUGUGCUUGUUUAGUUUGCUGAUUGUACAAUGUUGGUAAUCACAGUGCAGGUGUUUUCAUCUUAUGAAACAAAAAUAAAUAAAUUUAUAUGUAAUGUUGAAUUUAUUCUUUCAGUUUGCAAAUUAAAUUUUCUCUAAUUUCAUGUUUAAUUUGAGUAAUUAUUUCUCGUCUUGCACUUUUUGUCUCUAUUAGAAUUUUGAUGAAAAUAUGCCUUAAGUCAUGAAGACAAUGGAGAGAAAGCAAGCUCGCUCAGUGGAAACAAGUGUUUAGGUGUAC
Molecule: unclassified non-coding RNA, 3870 nt
Filed under: Hevea brasiliensis (rubber tree)
Lineage: Eukaryota; Viridiplantae; Streptophyta; Magnoliopsida; Malpighiales; Euphorbiaceae
Source: RNAcentral